GGGAGCCGGGACAAGAUUCCUCUGGCUGUCCAGGCUCGUCCACCCCGGCAGCAUGUUGGUGAACUGAAGUCUGACUCAACUCUUGGCCUGGCAAGGGCCUGGCUGUCUGGCGCAGGGCAAAGGUGGUGCCCUCUGGAGAAAGGAGGAGGCCAGUGGGGAGGGAAGAGGACCAGGAGGAAAGUGGCCACAGGCUGGCUGGACACUGAGCUCAGAAGAGGGGAGAUGGUGUUACUGUUGCCAUUUUACAGGAGCCAAGGUCCUCAUGACAGGGUUGGAAAGGCCUGGGAGGGGAGCCAGGAGCCUGAGACCAGCUCAGCAGGUCCUGGCCGUGUGACCCAGAGGAAGUCACCCCAUCUCGCCUGCUAACCAGAUGACUAACAGCAGCAGCAAUCAUAUUGCCUAAUUUGCUACCUCACAGGAGUGUGGGAGAAGAUCAAACAGAGAAAUGAAUGAGAAGCAUUCUUUCCACAAAUAUUUGUUGAACACCUACUGUGCUCGAGGCUUGUGGAGGACCAAGCGGGGAACAAGCUGGCAUAAUCCUUCUCCCUAGGAAUGUACAGUCAACAGGGAAGCCAGAAAUGAAGGGAUUGCUACAAAGUGUGCAAGUGCCUCCCUCUGCUGAGGAUUGGGGCACAUGAUGGCAGAGGCAUCUCUGCAAAUCCUGACAAUCUCACAGGUCAUCCCUGCUUUGCCUCCUUUGAGUCUUCAUUUAUGAAAUGGACUGGGUUUUUGUUGUUGUUGUUGUUUUAGAUGGUGUCUCGCUCUGUUGCCCAGGCUGGAGUGCAGUGGCGUGAUCUCGGCUCACUGCAACCUCCGCCUCCCGGGUUCAAGCAAUUCUCCUGCUUCAGCCUCCCGAGUAGUUGGGAUUACAGGUGUAUGCCACCACACCUGGCUAAUUUUUGUAUUUUUAGUAGAGACGGGGUUUCACCAUGUUUGCCAGGCUGGUCUCGAACUCCUGACCUCAGGUGAUCCGCCCACCUUGGCCUCUCAAAGUGCUGGGAUUAUAAGGCGUGAGCCACUGAGCCCAGCCUGGACUGUUUUUUGUUUUUGAGACAGGGUCUCACUCUGUUGCCUGGGCUGGAGUGCAGUGCUGUGAUCAUGGCUCACGGUAGCCUCGAACUCCUGGGCUCAGGUGAUCCUCCCACCUCAGCCUCCUGAGUAGCUGGCACUACAGGAGCACACCACCACCACCAUGCCCCGCUAAUUUUUAAUUUUUUACAGACAGGGUCUCACUAUGUUGCCCAGCCUGGUCUUGAACUCCUGGGCUCAAGCAAUCCUGCCUCAGCCUCUCAAAGUGCUGGGAUUACAGGGGUGAGCCACUGCACCUGGCCUUGAAAUGGACUUUGAAGUGAGCAUCAAGAUAUACCUUCCUCACGACGCUGGUGUAAGGAUUGAGCUCAUGCAUGUGAAAGGGCUUAGCACCGAGCCAGACACCUCUAAGACAUCGCUGGAUGGCGGUGAUUGUUCAUGCGCGACCUUGCCACUGGGCACCUGGGGAUGCAGGCAUGACAUUGUCCUUCAAAGAGACAGGGAUGAGGAGCAUGUGUCUGGCACCUGGAGAUCACAUUCCCUUCCUCCCUCAGGGCCUAUAUUUGCCCACACAUACACGAUUGCGUGGGGACGUUAAAAGGUUCGAAAGCAGAUAUUCCAAACUGGUAACAGGGUGAGAAAUGAGGGUAAUUAUGAGCCCAGUCAUCUACUUUUAUGUUUUAUCUUUUAUAUAUUGUUUGAACAAUAGAUCACUUUUUGUUUUUCUUUAUUACGGUAAAAUACGCGUGACAUUAAAUGUUCCAUUUGAACCAUUUUUAAGUGUAUGGUUCGGUGGCAUUAAGUACGUUCCCAAUGUUGCAACCGCUACCACCACCUUCCCCAGUGAAACUCUGUCCCCAUUAAACACUAACUCUCCCUUUCCCCUUCCCCAGCCCCUGGCAACAUUUAUUCUACUUUCUGUCUCUACAAAUUUGACUCGUAUAAGUGCAAUCACACAGUAUUUGUCCUUUUGUGUCUGGCUUAUUUCACUUAACAUAAUAUCCUCAAGUUCACUCACAUGGGAGCAUAUAUCAG
Molecule: long non-coding RNA, 2064 nt
Filed under: Homo sapiens (human)
Lineage: Eukaryota; Metazoa; Chordata; Mammalia; Primates; Hominidae
Description: HSALNT0276855
Source: RNAcentral